RNAcentral lists this ribosomal RNA (292 nucleotides) under uncultured bacterium. Its description in RNAcentral is "partial 16S ribosomal RNA". The record is from RNAcentral.
GGACUACCGGGGUUUCUAAUCCUGUUUGCUACCCACGCUUUCGCGUCUCAGCGUCAAUAUCGGUCCAGGCAGCCGCCUUCGCCACCGGUGUUCCUCCUGAUAUCUACGGAUUUCACUCCUACACCAGGAAUUCCACUACCCUCUCCCGUAUUCAAGUCUGACAGUUUCCAAUGCACUUCCCAGGUUGAGCCCGGGGCUUUCACAUCAGACUUACCAAACCGCCUACACGCGCUUUACGCCCAAUAAUUCCGAACAACGCUCGCACCCUCCGUAUUACCGCGGCUGCUGGCAC